RNAcentral lists this unclassified non-coding RNA (382 nucleotides) under Hevea brasiliensis (rubber tree). Lineage: Eukaryota; Viridiplantae; Streptophyta; Magnoliopsida; Malpighiales; Euphorbiaceae. The record is from RNAcentral.
GAUACUUUGCUUUUUAGCACUGAAAAUUUGAAUUUUCAAUUCUUUUUUCCCCGCUUUUUCUCCUUAGCUAAACUUUUGUGAGGUGAUAUUUGUGGCACUUUACAUGGUUAUCUACUUAUACAUUUUCCAAUUAUGCAAUGCUUGUGCACGGCUGUUAACCUGUUGGAGUUGUUCUGGCUAUUUAGAUCUAUCCUAUUGAGUAUAGACACAUCAUAUGUGGCCGCCGAUUUGUUCUUUAAAAUUGUUUGUGUCGAGAGUUCUCCUAUAGUUCUUAUUGAUGCCUUUGGGCCUUUUGCAUUACAUAUUUGAAAUGCAAAGAUUCUAUCUUCCUGGUGUCACACUCUGCUGAAGUGUUUUUUUACAUGCAGGAACAAUAUAUUAG